RNAcentral lists this long non-coding RNA (5169 nucleotides) under Elaeis guineensis (African oil palm). RNAcentral's name for it is "long non-coding RNA (EGUI_LNC027928)". Lineage: Eukaryota; Viridiplantae; Streptophyta; Magnoliopsida; Arecales; Arecaceae. The record is from RNAcentral.
AUGGAUGUUCAUAUGAUUUAGUAUGUAAACAACAUGGUUAAGUUGGAUCUCAUGAUUCAAGGGAUUAUGUGAUGUAUACUACAGAUUUGGAUCUUAGUUCCUCAUCCAGAUCGAGGAUGAGAUGCAUAUCAUUUGGGGCCAUUUUGAUCUGGAUUGUAUGAUCUGGAAUGUGGAUCAUAAGAUAUUAGCAAUGAUGUCCUAGAGAAUAAAGAGAUGUGAGGAUGGAGUAUAAAUUCUUCUCAAAAAGUAGGAUGAAAUAUAACUAGCCUAGUAUUUAUUUUUAUUGUUAUGUCUAUAUUUUUUUUAAAGUGAGAGUGAAGAGCUUGGGAAAAUAUGAGGUUUCAAUUGGUAAAGUAGUUUUAGGACUUGAGGGGGUGUUCAUUAAGGGUGUGCAUGGGUUGUGUCGGGUCAGUUUGGUGCUAAACCCAAAAUUAAACCAAUUUAAACUGGUUUUCUAAAAUUGAAACUCAACCAACCAUCUAUAAAAAAUUAGUUGAAACCAACCUAAAAAUUUGGUUCGCUUUGGUUUAUCAGGUUGAUGUUUUAUUUUAUAUAUAAAAGAAAAAAAUAAAUUAUUGAAAUUUAUAUAUACAAACAUAUAUGUAUUAGGUCGAGAUGGGUCGGUUUGAAUAUGUGUGUGCGUGUGUGCGCGUGCGCAUGCAUGUGUGUACAUAUGGGUGGGUUUGGGUCAGUUUGAAUCGAUUUUCUGAAAACUCAAACUGAAACUGAGCUGAAUUUUUUCGAUUUAGGACUUUCCCAAAUCAAAACCAAAUUGAAUUUAAAAAAAGGGGAUAUCAACCAAGGUUUUUUUUUUUUUAAAGUCCUGUGGAAUGGAGGUAUCCCGAUUUACCUGUGGAACGAGAUACUCCGUUGUCUCAUCCCAUCUCGACAACAGUCUCAAUCAUACAUAUUGGGAAAUAUCCUGUCUUUCUCUCCUUUUCUUUCUUUCCUUCAUUUGUUUCCUAUUAUUAUACAUUUCUUUCUUUUCUUUCCUUUUUUUUUCUUUUCUUACCCCUUCUUUCUUUUUACCUUUUCUUCUUCUUUCUCUUUUCUUCCUUCUUUCCUUUCUUUUUCUCCUCCCUUCCCUUCUUUCUUUUAUUUUUCUUCUUUCCUUCCACUUUAUCCCUUUCUUCAUCUCUCCUUCCUUUCUUUCUUUCCUUUUUCUUCUUCUCUCAAUGCAUGGAUGGGUUUCAAAGCCUCAACCUCAUCCUGCUCCCAUUUUCUUGGAUGAUCGGGACACCUUUUGUCCCGCCGGGAUAUAAAACCUUGAUAUAAACCAAAUCAAAAAGACCGGUUCAUUUGGGUUCAUGGUUUGGCCGGUUUAUUGCACACCCCUAGCGUUCAUUGGAUUUUAGAAGAAGAAAAUGAUUUUAUAUCUAAUUGAUUAAUACUGGUUUCUAUCCUGGGAAAGUUAGUGGAGACAUUUAAGUGAAAGAUUCUAGGCCAUCAUUAUAAUAUGCAUAAUUCAAAACAUAGCUAACUGCCUUCUAUUUCACUGCUAUGAUGUGCUUUCUAGUGUUUUGACUUCAAAGGCAUGACUGCCUUUUCAUGUGCCUAAAAGAUUAUGCAACUUGUCUUACGUAUCUUGUUAGAUUUCCACCCUCCAGUAUAGCCUCAACCUUUCACAUGGCUUCUUUAUUUCUGUUCCUUGAUAUUUCCUGGGAAUAGGACCAUUUUCUUAUUGUUUUACUUUUGUUAGUUUGCCUUUCCAUGGUUUUCCAUCCUUUAUUUUGAGUCAGUUAUUUUUGUCUACCUUCCAUAUAUAAUCUGUUUUCAUUCAGUGAAUUGUGAAUCCUUCAUUAGAAAUUAAGCAUUGAAAAUGACGUGCAAGACCUGCAACAGAUUACUCAUUGAAGUAUAUUUGGUACAAAUAUGGUGAUAGAGCAUCUUUCUAGGUGCUUAGUUGUGAGCAUGAUGGGUGGGACAUGUGUUCGUAAGUGAAUUUUUAAAAAACAUAUGAAGUAAGAAAGCACUUAGGAUGGAGUGCAGGUUUGAGAUUAUGGAGAGUUUCUGAAUGGGUUAGUUACAUAACAGUUUCCUGGUACUAUGUUCUAGGUGCUUGAAAUCUUUAAAUGACAACAUACAUUCAUGAAAGCCAUAGGCUUAAAUGACAAGCUUCUUCAGAUUUAUGAGGAGUAUAGUACAUAAGACAUGCUCUGGAAAGUAAUAAGAUUUACCAAAGAAAAUUUGCUCAUGAAAUUAUAAUUCAUAUAUUAAGAAUUAUUUCUGAUAGAAUCUGUGGCAGUAUUUGGUUAUAACCAGAGAAAUGUGUAUUUUCUCAAAUUGAUUUUAUUUGAGUUGGAAAUUACGUUGGUUUAUUUACUGUGCAGACUCGUUCCUGUGACUCAUAUCUUAACCAGACAGCUGUCAGAAGUCAUAUCUUAACACUUUUGUUCAUACUAUGAAUUUUUUCUGUAAGAUGCUCACAUUCCAUGAGAUGCAUAAUGGAGUCACUGGAUCCAUAUUAUGAAACCAUGGUUUUUAUAUAUAGCAUUUUUCUUCCUUUAGUUACACCAUCUGAAGAACAUUGAUAAUGUCACACCCCUCCCUUUAGACCGAGCAACGGUAUGACAACUGAGCAAAGUUUUACCAGCAUCUUGUGCCUGGGAUCAUAAGCUAUUAGUAAACCCUAGUCGUCUGGCAUAGCUUGCUGUAAUUUAGAUCAUUAUAUUUCAAUCCAUAAAAAAACUUGCAGUUUUAUUUAUCUCACAGAUAUGCAUAACACUUUAUUCAAUAUCAUGCAAAACAUCUUAUAUUCAACUUCUAAGUAUUAUACAUUAAGUCUUACAAUGUUCAUGCAACACUCUAUGCAUAUUGACAAUUCCAAAAGUACUUCUCCGAGCUAAAGUGGCCCAACCUCAACUAGUGCUGAAUGCUGAUAAUGUAGUAUGAUCUUCUAGCACGCUCUAGUACACCUCAAAUUUGCAAAAAUAAGUGAAGUGAUGAGACUUAUGUUCCAGUGAAUGGUCAUUCUAUCUAACAAUCGGAGAAACAAAAUGGUUUAACUUUAAGGCUCAAAACAUACGUGGAAAACAUACUUCUUUCACAAUUCUUUUUAAACCUUUCAAACAUUUAUAUUAUAAACAAGAAUGAAAUGAUGUAGUAAAGCAAUCUCUACGUUUAUCCUGUCAAAAAGUACCACUUACCUUUUUAACUUUUCAUAAGUAAAAUUCUGCAUUCACAUCACUCAAACAUAUUAUUUCUUUUAAUAUAACAUAAACCAUAUUAAACUAUUUUGCUCCAAACCUGCAAAUCUCAUUCUUUAUCUUUCUGGAAAACAAACACCACAUACACCUGUUGAGCUUGCUUAUACCAAGCACUAGCUAAAAUUAUUUCUUACCGAGCUAGUCAAGGAAGCAAAAAGGGUUUCUGGCUCUUCUUUGCUGGUCAUACAUGCAUGUAGACUUGGCUUCUCUAAUUAUCUGAUCUAUUGGGCGCUAUUUUAGCUAUGGGCAGUUCACACCAUAAGGCACCACUCCCAUGGGCAGUCUUGACGCAUAGGUGCGUUGCUCCACCUGGCUUCUGAUUCUUGUAGUACGACCACGGGCAGCUCACACUAUAGGUUGAUCAUCCCUAUAGGCAGCCUGGACGUGUGAUUGCCCAAUAGAUUUUCGGGUGGUGGUGAACUAGCUCAAAACACUUUUCCAAAUCAAAUAUACAUACAAAUAUGCAUAUGUAUUUAUAACAUAACCUCAAACAUUCAUCACAUCCUAGUUCCACUCUUUGGAUAGAAAAUACGUUAUAAAACCAAAUCUGAUUUCUUAUUUUAAAACAAAGCAUUUUCACAAUUCUCACAGAAAUAGAAAACACCGAAGCUAGAAAGAAGACCGCUUAUCGGGUAGGCCAGCUACCACACCUCCUAGGUGCUUGAUUCUUUGAAAGCUUCUCUAGGGUUAUUUUCUUCUCCUGUACAUUUGUAAGUGCACCUUGGUUAAUGCAAUGCACUACAUGAUGUGUGAAUGCAAGAAUGCAUGAUAUGCUUCAUGCUUGUCCAUUUUCAUUUAGUUUAAUCUUUCACCAACUUAGCCAAUUUGCCAUUGCUAAGCUUUCCACUAUUUUCACAAUUGUCUUUUAGAUUCUUCCUCAUGGCACUAACACAUUUAACAUCACCUUUUAUGUCUCAUCUCUCUUUCUUAUAGCUAUUUAUCCUUCUUACUAUUUAGCUUAGUAUGACCAUAAUUCAACCCUUAAACAGUUCACUUAACACACAGCACACACUUCAUUCUAAUCUCUACACCACACGCCAAUUGUACACACCAUAAACAUCUUCAUUCACAUUCUGCCCUGUUUUAGAGAUGCUGAUAAAUUAACGAAAAUCUAAUGUAUUUCAGAAGCUAAGUUCAUAUUCCAACUCCAUCAGACCCAAAUCAAACUAGUUCAAUUUGGCCUAAACAAACCUAACUUCCAUGAAUUUCUUCAUAUGGCAGCAACAUAACAUCAAGGUCUUUAACCCUAAAUCACAUAACUUGAUCAAAAGAAUGAUAAUUCACGUAUUUAACACCCAAACUGCAAAUUAAAACAAGUUACAAGUUAGAACUCUUACCCUCUUUGCUGAAAAUGCAAGAACAAUCACAAAACAGUAUGCUGCCUUCUUCAGAAGCAGCAAUACUCUCCUCCAAUCCUCCAAACUUCACUUCAUUGGUAUUAAACCAAGUCCUCUAAGCCUUGUUCUCUUAGUUUAGGACCUGAAAUUCUCUUUCUUUUUUUCUGAUCUCUCUCUCUCUCUCUCUCUCUUAGUCUUAGUCUCUCUCUCUUUCUUUCUUUUGUUCUAAUGUAGAAGUGAAACAAAUGGAAGGAAUGAAUGGAGGUGGUGGGCUGUUUUGGGUGAUAAGGGGCAGCAAGCUGCUGCAUGGCACAAGGAGCAGAAGACACCAAGAAUAGAAAGAAAGAUGUGAGGGGAGGUGUUGACAUGUGGCAACUUUGGUACUUUGACCAUUUUGCCCUUCCUACUAACACAAUUUUGCAAAAUUGCCACCCAUGCACACAUGCACUUUCACAUGAAUUCCCUGCACUCCCCUUCUUGUUUAUGGCAUGACAUCCCAACACUAGGCCACAUGAAUUCUCACCAACAUUUUGCUAUGCAUACCUUAUAAUAUCUCUCUUUUAAUCUAUUUUGUACUAUGCUCAUAUACUAAUCACUAAUUUUCCUUCAUUCCCACUAAUGCCACU